Molecule: ribosomal RNA, 547 nt
Filed under: uncultured bacterium
Lineage: Bacteria
Description: bacterial SSU rRNA
Rfam family: Bacterial small subunit ribosomal RNA
Source: RNAcentral
UGGGGAAUAUUGCGCAAUGGGGGGAACCCUGACGCAGCCAUGCCGCGUGAAUGAAGAAGGCCUUCGGGUUGUAAAGUUCUUUCGGUAUUGAGGAAGGUUGAUGUGUUAAUAGCACAUCAAAUUGACGUUAAAUACAGAAGAAGCACCGGCUAACUCCGUGCCAGCAGCCGCGGUAAUACGGAGGGUGCGAGCGUUAAUCGGAAUAACUGGGCGUAAAGGGCACGCAGGCGGUUAUUUAAGUGAGGUGUGAAAGCCCCGGGCUUAACCUGGGAAUUGCAUUUCAGACUGGGUAACUAGAGUACUUUAGGGAGGGGUAGAAUUCCACGUGUAGCGGUGAAAUGCGUAGAGAUGUGGAGGAAUACCGAAGGCGAAGGCAGCCCCUUGGGAAUGUACUGACGCUCAUGUGCGAAAGCGUGGGGAGCAAACAGGAUUAGAUACCCUGGUAGUCCACGCUGUAAACGCUGUCGAUUUGGGGGUUGGGGUUUAACUCUGGCGCCCGUAGCUAACGUGAUAAAUCGACCGCCUAGGGAGUACGGCCGCAAGGUUA